This 459-nucleotide ribosomal RNA is filed under the name uncultured bacterium. RNAcentral's name for it is "partial 16S ribosomal RNA". It matches the Rfam family "Bacterial small subunit ribosomal RNA", at positions 338 to 795 of the family's 1533-position model. The record is from RNAcentral.
CCUACGGGAGGCUGCAGUGAGGAAUAUUGGUCAAUGGGCGCGAGCCUGAACCAGCCAAGUCGCGUGAGGGAAGACGGUCCUAUGGAUUGUAAACCUCUUUUGUCGGGGAGCAAAAGACGCCACGCGUGGAGUUCCGUGAGUACCCGAAGAAAAAGCAUCGGCUAACUCCGUGCCAGCCGCCGCGGUAAUACGGAGGAUGCGAGCGUUAUCCGGAUUUCGUGGGUUUAACGGGUGCGCAGGCGGAAGAUAAAGGCUACGGUAAAAUUGAGAGGCUCAACCUCUUCGAGCCGUUGAAACUGGUUUUCUUGAGUGAGCGAGAGGUAUGCGGAAUGCGUGGUGUAGCGGUGAAAUGCAUAGAUAUCACGCAGAACUCCGAUUGCGAAGGCAGCAUACCGGCGCUCAACUGACGCUCAUGCACGAAAGUGUGGGUAUCGAACAGGAUUAGAUACCCGAGUAGUC